AUUGAACGCUGGCGGCAUGCCUUACACAUGCAAGUCGAACGGCAGCAUGAUCUAGCUUGCUAGAUUGAUGGCGAGUGGCGAACGGGUGAGUAAUACAUCGGAACGUGCCCUGUAGUAGGGGAUAACUAGUCGAAAGAUUAGCUAAUACCGCAUACGACCUGAGGGUGAAAGUGGGGGACCGCAAGGCCUCAUGCUAUAGGAGCGGCCGAUGUCUGAUUAGCUAGUUGGUGAGGUAAAGGCUCACCAAGGCGACGAUCAGUAGCUGGUCUGAGAGGACGAUCAGCCACACUGGGACUGAGACACGGCCCAGACUCCUACGGGAGGCAGCAGUGGGGAAUUUUGGACAAUGGGCGAAAGCCUGAUCCAGCAAUGCCGCGUGUGUGAAGAAGGCCUUCGGGUUGUAAAGCACUUUUGUCCGGAAAGAAAUGGCUCUGGUUAAUACCUGGGGUCGAUGACGGUACCGGAAGAAUAAGGACCGGCUAACUACGUG
Molecule: ribosomal RNA, 490 nt
Filed under: uncultured bacterium
Lineage: Bacteria
Description: partial 16S ribosomal RNA
Rfam family: Bacterial small subunit ribosomal RNA
Source: RNAcentral